AACGAACGCUGGCGGCAUGCCUAACACAUGCCAGUCGAACGAGACCUUCGGGUCUAGUGGCGCACGGGUGCGUAACGCGUGGGAACCUGCCCUUAGGUUCGGAAUAACUCCCCGAAAGGGGUGCUAAUACCGGAUAAUGUCUUCGGACCAAAGAUUUAUCGCCUUUGGAUGGGCCCGCGUUGGAUUAGCUAGUUGGUAGGGUAAAAGCCUACCAAGGCGACGAUCCAUAGCUGGUCUGAGAGGAUGAUCAGCCACACUGGGACUGAGACACGGCCCAGACUCCUACGGGAGGCAGCAGUGGGGAAGAUUGGACAAUGGGCGAAAGCCUGAUCCAGCAAUGCCGCGAGAGUGAUGAAGGCCUUAGGGUUGUAAAGCUCUUUUACCCGGGAUGAUAAGGACAGUACCGGGAGAAUAAGCUCCGGCUAACUCCGU
RNAcentral lists this ribosomal RNA (432 nucleotides) under uncultured bacterium. RNAcentral describes it as "partial 16S ribosomal RNA". It matches the Rfam family "Bacterial small subunit ribosomal RNA", at positions 29 to 506 of the family's 1533-position model. The record is from RNAcentral.